Long non-coding RNA from Meriones unguiculatus (Mongolian gerbil), 1419 nucleotides. RefSeq lists it as uncharacterized. The record is from RefSeq and is a predicted model, not a curated record. The transcript has 3 exons. NCBI's taxonomy places the organism in Eukaryota, Metazoa, Chordata, Mammalia, Rodentia, Muridae.
CAGUGAGAAAAAUUUUGAAAUCUUUGAAUCUCAGUGAUUUCCAGAAGUAUUAAGAUUUGCACUGUGAACUUGAUGUGUUCUUAGUGGAAAGAGCAAGACCACAGACUCAUUCCGGGACACACAGGAAGUAUGGAACCACACAUCCAGCCAGUUACAGGAACUCUAGAGAGUGCCAGCAAUAUUAUUCCCUGAGAGCCAAGGCAAACAAACCCACCCCUCUCCAUUCUGAAGGCUGACAACCAGGGAAGGGAAAGGCAAUUCUCAACAUCCUUCCACUGGGCCUGAAAUGGGAGGCAACCUGAGUGUCCAAAAGCUGUGCCUGACUCUUCUAAAGAUCCUGCAGUGAGGGAACCAUGGACAUAAACUGCUGCUGACCUGAACUCAGAGACCUCUGGCAUCAGAGUCCACAUUCCCUUGAGGAUGGCAUAUGGACUGUCUAAAGCUGAAUUCUCAGAGGGUGGCAUUUCUUAUGAUAAUUUGCUAUGUAUUAAUACGUGUUACUUAUUUUUAUUUAUUUUUCUUGUUUGAAAUAUGCUCGCAUGUAGCGCUGGCUGGCCUUGAAGUUGUGUUCCUCAUGCUUCAGUCACUCAGGUGCUGGAAUGACAGAUGUAUGCCACCAUGACUGGCUUUGUACAUUAUAACUUAAGAUCUAUGCUUAUUAGUGUGUGAGGUGGUUUGAAGAGGAAUGGCUCCCAUAGAAGUCAUGUGUGUGGAUGCGUGGCCCAUAGACAGUGGUAAUAUUGGGCAGUGGCAAUAGGAUGUGGUGUGGCCUUCCUGGUGUAGGCAUGGUCUUGUUGGAGGAAGUGUGUCACUGUGGAGGUGGGUUUUUAGGACUUAUAAAUGCUCCAGCUAUGCCUAGUGUCUCAGUCUCCUUCUGCUGCCUGCGGAUCAAGAUGCAGAACUCUCAGCUCCUUCUCUAGCACUGUCUGCUUGCCUGCCACCAUGCUUCCUGCCAUGAUGAAAAUGGACUAACUCUCUGAAACUGUAAGCCAGCCCCAAAUGAAUGUUUUCACUUAUAAGAGUUGCUGUAGUCAUGAUGUCUCUUAACACUAAUGAAACCCUAACUAAAACAGUGUGAUUGUCCUCUCCGUGCCCAUGUGCAUAGUGAUUGGAAAACAGAGAGCAAAAGAGAGCCAGGAGAACACCCAGUAAGAAGAAGGCAACGCUGAAUCCAGGGCUGCCCAGACUCCUGUGGACCAGAUUUUCCCACAGAGAGGGGCCUUACCUAGACACUGUGGGUAGGUCUGGGGUGGGGCCUGAGAAUCUGGCAUUUCUGACAGAGCUAUAGGUGCUACUCAUGUACAACAAAGAAGGAAAUAGAGACAGGAUUGGGAAAGAUGGGAUUGAGAAGAUGGCUCAGUCAGUUAUACACUUCCUCACAAGCUGUGGGAAUCUGAGUCCAAAGCUGAGCACAGUGGC